This 494-nucleotide ribosomal RNA is filed under the name uncultured bacterium. RNAcentral describes it as "partial 16S ribosomal RNA". It matches the Rfam family "Bacterial small subunit ribosomal RNA", at positions 28 to 507 of the family's 1533-position model. The record is from RNAcentral.
GACGAACGCUGGCGGCGUGCUUAACACAUGCCAGUCGAACGGAAAGGCCUGCUUUCCCUUGUGGAUUGCGGGUACUCGAGUGGCGAACGGGUGAGUAACACGUGAGUGAUCUGCCCCCAACUUGGGUAUAAGCCUGGGAAACUGGGUCUAAUUCCCGAUAGGACUGCAGGGUGGUGCCUGUGGUGGAAAACGAUUUUCUAGUGGUUGGGGAUAAGCUCGCGGCCUAUCAGCUUGUUGGUGGGGUAAUGGCCUACCAAGGCGGCGACGGGUAGCCGGCCUGAGAGGGUGGACGGCCACAUUGGGACUGAGAUACGGCCCAGACUCCUGCGGGAGGCAGCAGUGGGGAAUAUUGCACAAUGGGCGGAAGCCUGAUGCAGCGACGCCGCGUGGGGGAUGACGGCCUUCGGGUUGUAAACUCCUUUCGACCGCGAGGAAGCCACCUGGUUGGAAGGGUGGUGACGGUAGUGGUAGAAGAAGCACCGGCUAACUACGUG